Molecule: ribosomal RNA, 197 nt
Filed under: uncultured bacterium
Lineage: Bacteria
Description: partial 16S ribosomal RNA
Rfam family: Bacterial small subunit ribosomal RNA
Source: RNAcentral
ACUCCUACGGGAGGCAGCAGUGGGGAAUAUUGGACAAUGGGCGCAAGCCUGAUCCAGCAAUGCCGCGUGUGUGGAGAAGGCCUGCGGGUUGUAAAGCACUUUCAGUGGGGAAGAAAAGCGGGAUGCUAAUACCAUCCUGUCUUGACGUUACCCACAGAAGAAGCACCGGCUAACUCCGUGCCAGCAGCCGCGGUAAU